Molecule: long non-coding RNA, 7591 nt
Organism: Sardina pilchardus (European sardine)
Lineage: Eukaryota; Metazoa; Chordata; Actinopteri; Clupeiformes; Clupeidae
Exons: 2
Source: RefSeq, a predicted model, not a curated record
CUAGGUCCACGCCCCUUAAACAGCUCGGCAAUGCCCUUCUGAGUGGCUCUGGGAAAUUGGAGGUGAGCCAAUCCGUACGUGGGAGCGGCUAUAAGGUUUUAGCUUUUAUGUUGAAGGCUAGCGUCGUAGCUACAUCGUUUGCUUGACUCCGGCCUUCACCGCUCCCCGUAUUGGCUUCACCUCUGGCCGGUUCCGUGUGUCCGCCGACUUCUCGGAGUGCAGUUAGUCGCUGAACAUGGGCCUUAUGACCGACCACAGCAGAGCGGUAGGUCACGUUAAACGUUUUUAAAAUAAUAUGUAAACUUGUGUGGGUUUAAUCGUAUGUUCUUUGUGUAGCAGAUCUCGGGCGUAACAGGGGGCGGCAACAUCAAGGCGUCUUGGUCCCAGUUCCGACGAACGCUGCUGUUUUGUCCUGUUUUGUUUUGUUCUGUUGUGUUUGUGUUGUUUCAUUCCGUUGUUGCAUUGGCUGUGUUUAGCCACCAUGAGGUUGAGUGACGACAGGUGUGUUUCGGGUUGCUAUCCGAGUGACUACGAAUUCAGUCCGGUUACAGGGGCUAUUCCUUAUCUUGUGUACACUGCGUGUCAUGAUUAUGCAUGGAGUGAUUGUGCCAAUUAACACUGUUUGCCGUGAGUGCAUUUGAAGUGCUAUUUAUUCACGAGUGUCUCCAUUCCCUGAAUAGUCACCUCUACUGACUUUAGCGAACUCACUCUGGAGAGUAGCCUUCUACUACUGCUGUUAGCGAACCCAUACUGGAGAAUACUGCUGACCUGGGCGAACCCACACUGGAGAGAACUCACUCCCUUUGUUUUACUGAUUAUAAUAAAAAGAGUUUAUUUUUGGACACGCGCCUCUCUGGUUUUCUGUGACCCCGAACCUGUGUUGCCUACAGCUUAAUUGAUUAACCAGUCAAAAGGAAUUCAUAUUCUGAGGGGAAGGGCCUCAGAUGGCGUAGUCGUCAUGCAAUGUAUAGCAAACCAUCCACUUUGCCACAUUUGGCGUAGUUGGCAGAGGAUCACAUAGCAAAGCCAGAGACGUGUGUUCCAAUGUUUUUCUGUCUGUUGUAACUUUGUCUUUGUUUUGUCGUAUUACUAUUGGUUAUCUUUAUUUUUUUUAUGUCUUUUGUAACUUUGUCUUUGCUUGGUCGUAUUACUAUUGGUUUAUUUUUUUUCUCAGACAAAACAGCAGCUGUUUGUGGGACCAAGAAGGAGUCAGGUAGGCUUGGUGCAUGGCCAGCUUCGGUUGAGUUUUGUGUCCCCCCCCCGUCCCCGUCCCCGUCCCCGUCCCCCCCCCAUUGCCCUUUUUCCUCCUUUCCCCCCCCCUCCUGUUUUGUACGGCGUGUAGCUCAAUGCAGCGCUGUAGCCAGGGUAGCUCCCCACCUAUGCCUUUGGGUCAUGGGUCGCCAUAAGGGCGACAGCCAUUAGCGGGGCCUGGUGUUAAUGCCUCCCUGGUACCCCCCCCCCCCCCCUCCUCCUUUCCCCCUUCCCCCAUCUUGUACAGCGUGUAGCUCAAUGCAGCGCUGUAGCCAGGGAAGCUCCCCACCUAUGCCUUUGGGUCAUGGGUCGCCAUGAGGGCGACAGCCAUUAGCGGGGCCUGGUGUUAAUGCCUCCCUGGUACCCCCCCCCCUCCUCCUUUCCCCCUUCCCCCAUCUUGUACAGCGUGUAGCCCAAUGCAGCGCUGUAGCCAGGGAAGCUCCCCACCUAUGCCUUUGGGUCAUGGGUCGCCAUGAGGGCGACAGCCAUUAGCGGGGCCUGGUGUUAAUGCCUCCCUGGUACCCCCCCCUCCUCCUUUCCCCCUUCCCCCAUCUUGUACAGCGUGUAGCUCAAUGCAGCGCUGUAGCCAGGGUAGCUCCCCACCUAUGCCUUUGGGUCAUGGGUCGCCAUGAGGGCGACAGCCAUUAGCGGGGCCUGGUGUUGUUGCCUUCCUGGUACCCCCCCCCCCCCCCCUUCCCAGUUUCUACAGCGCGUAGCUCACUGCAGCGCUGUAGCCAGGGUAGCUCCCCACCUGCGCCUUUGGGUCAUGGGUCGCCAUGAGAGCGACAGCCAUUAGCGGGGCCUGGUGUUGUUGCCUUCCUGGUGCCCCCCCCCCCCUUCUCCAAGGUGUACAGCGUCGCCUCAUUUUAGGUUAAUCGUCGGGGCGACGAUUCAAAAGCCUUGGGAAGAAUGUAGCAGGACUAGGUCCACGCCCCUUAAACAGCUCGGCAAUGCCCUUCUGAGUGGCUCUGGGAAAUUGGAGGUGAGCCAAUCCGUACGUGGGAGCGGCUAUAAGGUUUUAGCUUUUAUGUUGAAGGCUAGCGUCGUAGCUACAUCGUUUGCUUGACUCCGGCCUUCACCGCUCCCCGUAUUGGCUUCACCUCUGGCCGGUUCCGUGUGUCCGCCGACUUCUCGGUAGGUGAUGGAAGUAUUGUGUUUGUUGUUGGCUACGUUUGUAUCAGUCAGUGGGCUAACUCAAACAUUGGGGUUUAGGAGUGCAGUUAGUCGCUGAACAUGGGCCUUAUGACCGACCACAGCAGAGCGGUAGGUCACGUUAAACGUUUUUAAAAUAAUAUGUAAACUUGUGUGGGUUUAAUCGUAUGUUCUUUGUGUAGCAGAUCUCGGGCGUAACAGGGGGCGGCAACAUCAAGGCGUCUUGGUCCCAGUUCCGACGAACGCUGCUGUUUUGUCCUGUUUUGUUUUGUUCUGUUGUGUUUGUGUUGUUUCAUUCCGUUGUUGCAUUGGCUGUGUUUAGCCACCAUGAGGUUGAGUGACGACAGGUGUGUUUCGGGUUGCUAUCCGAGUGACUACGAAUUCAGUCCGGUUACAGGGGCUAUUCCUUAUCUUGUGUACACUGCGUGUCAUGAUUAUGCAUGGAGUGAUUGUGCCAAUUAACACUGUUUGCCGUGAGUGCAUUUGAAGUGCUAUUUAUUCACGAGUGUCUCCAUUCCCUGAAUAGUCACCUCUACUGACUUUAGCGAACUCACUCUGGAGAGUAGCCUUCUACUACUGCUGUUAGCGAACCCAUACUGGAGAAUACUGCUGACCUGGGCGAACCCACACUGGAGAGAACUCACUCCCUUUGUUUUACUGAUUAUAAUAAAAAGAGUUUAUUUUUGGACACGCGCCUCUCUGGUUUUCUGUGACCCCGAACCUGUGUUGCCUACAGCUUAAUUGAUUAACCAGUCAAAAGGAAUUCAUAUUCUGAGGGGAAGGGCCUCAGAUGGCGUAGUCGUCAUGCAAUGUAUAGCAAACCAUCCACUUUGCCACAUUUGGCGUAGUUGGCAGAGGAUCACAUAGCAAAGCCAGAGACGUGUGUUCCAAUGUUUUUCUGUCUGUUGUAACUUUGUCUUUGUUUUGUCGUAUUACUAUUGGUUAUCUUUAUUUUUUUUAUGUCUUUUGUAACUUUGUCUUUGCUUGGUCGUAUUACUAUUGGUUUAUUUUUUUUCUCAGACAAAACAGCAGCUGUUUGUGGGACCAAGAAGGAGUCAGGUAGGCUUGGUGCAUGGCCAGCUUCGGUUGAGUUUUGUGUCCCCCCCCCGUCCCCGUCCCCGUCCCCGUCCCCCCCCCAUUGCCCUUUUUCCUCCUUUCCCCCCCCCUCCUGUUUUGUACGGCGUGUAGCUCAAUGCAGCGCUGUAGCCAGGGUAGCUCCCCACCUAUGCCUUUGGGUCAUGGGUCGCCAUAAGGGCGACAGCCAUUAGCGGGGCCUGGUGUUAAUGCCUCCCUGGUACCCCCCCCCCCCCCCUCCUCCUUUCCCCCUUCCCCCAUCUUGUACAGCGUGUAGCUCAAUGCAGCGCUGUAGCCAGGGAAGCUCCCCACCUAUGCCUUUGGGUCAUGGGUCGCCAUGAGGGCGACAGCCAUUAGCGGGGCCUGGUGUUAAUGCCUCCCUGGUACCCCCCCCCCUCCUCCUUUCCCCCUUCCCCCAUCUUGUACAGCGUGUAGCCCAAUGCAGCGCUGUAGCCAGGGAAGCUCCCCACCUAUGCCUUUGGGUCAUGGGUCGCCAUGAGGGCGACAGCCAUUAGCGGGGCCUGGUGUUAAUGCCUCCCUGGUACCCCCCCCUCCUCCUUUCCCCCUUCCCCCAUCUUGUACAGCGUGUAGCUCAAUGCAGCGCUGUAGCCAGGGUAGCUCCCCACCUAUGCCUUUGGGUCAUGGGUCGCCAUGAGGGCGACAGCCAUUAGCGGGGCCUGGUGUUGUUGCCUUCCUGGUACCCCCCCCCCCCCCCCUUCCCAGUUUCUACAGCGCGUAGCUCACUGCAGCGCUGUAGCCAGGGUAGCUCCCCACCUGCGCCUUUGGGUCAUGGGUCGCCAUGAGAGCGACAGCCAUUAGCGGGGCCUGGUGUUGUUGCCUUCCUGGUGCCCCCCCCCCCCUUCUCCAAGGUGUACAGCGUCGCCUCAUUUUAGGUUAAUCGUCGGGGCGACGAUUCAAAAGCCUUGGGAAGAAUGUAGCAGGACUAGGUCCACGCCCCUUAAACAGCUCGGCAAUGCCCUUCUGAGUGGCUCUGGGAAAUUGGAGGUGAGCCAAUCCGUACGUGGGAGCGGCUAUAAGGUUUUAGCUUUUAUGUUGAAGGCUAGCGUCGUAGCUACAUCGUUUGCUUGACUCCGGCCUUCACCGCUCCCCGUAUUGGCUUCACCUCUGGCCGGUUCCGUGUGUCCGCCGACUUCUCGGUAGGUGAUGGAAGUAUUGUGUUUGUUGUUGGCUACGUUUGUAUCAGUCAGUGGGCUAACUCAAACAUUGGGGUUUAGGAGUGCAGUUAGUCGCUGAACAUGGGCCUUAUGACCGACCACAGCAGAGCGGUAGGUCACGUUAAACGUUUUUAAAAUAAUAUGUAAACUUGUGUGGGUUUAAUCGUAUGUUCUUUGUGUAGCAGAUCUCGGGCGUAACAGGGGGCGGCAACAUCAAGGCGUCUUGGUCCCAGUUCCGACGAACGCUGCUGUUUUGUCCUGUUUUGUUUUGUUCUGUUGUGUUUGUGUUGUUUCAUUCCGUUGUUGCAUUGGCUGUGUUUAGCCACCAUGAGGUUGAGUGACGACAGGUGUGUUUCGGGUUGCUAUCCGAGUGACUACGAAUUCAGUCCGGUUACAGGGGCUAUUCCUUAUCUUGUGUACACUGCGUGUCAUGAUUAUGCAUGGAGUGAUUGUGCCAAUUAACACUGUUUGCCGUGAGUGCAUUUGAAGUGCUAUUUAUUCACGAGUGUCUCCAUUCCCUGAAUAGUCACCUCUACUGACUUUAGCGAACUCACUCUGGAGAGUAGCCUUCUACUACUGCUGUUAGCGAACCCAUACUGGAGAAUACUGCUGACCUGGGCGAACCCACACUGGAGAGAACUCACUCCCUUUGUUUUACUGAUUAUAAUAAAAAGAGUUUAUUUUUGGACACGCGCCUCUCUGGUUUUCUGUGACCCCGAACCUGUGUUGCCUACAGCUUAAUUGAUUAACCAGUCAAAAGGAAUUCAUAUUCUGAGGGGAAGGGCCUCAGAUGGCGUAGUCGUCAUGCAAUGUAUAGCAAACCAUCCACUUUGCCACAUUUGGCGUAGUUGGCAGAGGAUCACAUAGCAAAGCCAGAGACGUGUGUUCCAAUGUUUUUCUGUCUGUUGUAACUUUGUCUUUGUUUUGUCGUAUUACUAUUGGUUAUCUUUAUUUUUUUUAUGUCUUUUGUAACUUUGUCUUUGCUUGGUCGUAUUACUAUUGGUUUAUUUUUUUUCUCAGACAAAACAGCAGCUGUUUGUGGGACCAAGAAGGAGUCAGGUAGGCUUGGUGCAUGGCCAGCUUCGGUUGAGUUUUGUGUCCCCCCCCCGUCCCCGUCCCCGUCCCCGUCCCCCCCCCAUUGCCCUUUUUCCUCCUUUCCCCCCCCCUCCUGUUUUGUACGGCGUGUAGCUCAAUGCAGCGCUGUAGCCAGGGUAGCUCCCCACCUAUGCCUUUGGGUCAUGGGUCGCCAUAAGGGCGACAGCCAUUAGCGGGGCCUGGUGUUAAUGCCUCCCUGGUACCCCCCCCCCCCCCCUCCUCCUUUCCCCCUUCCCCCAUCUUGUACAGCGUGUAGCUCAAUGCAGCGCUGUAGCCAGGGAAGCUCCCCACCUAUGCCUUUGGGUCAUGGGUCGCCAUGAGGGCGACAGCCAUUAGCGGGGCCUGGUGUUAAUGCCUCCCUGGUACCCCCCCCCCCUCCUCCUUUCCCCCUUCCCCCAUCUUGUACAGCGUGUAGCCCAAUGCAGCGCUGUAGCCAGGGAAGCUCCCCACCUAUGCCUUUGGGUCAUGGGUCGCCAUGAGGGCGACAGCCAUUAGCGGGGCCUGGUGUUAAUGCCUCCCUGGUACCCCCCCCUCCUCCUUUCCCCCUUCCCCCAUCUUGUACAGCGUGUAGCUCAAUGCAGCGCUGUAGCCAGGGUAGCUCCCCACCUAUGCCUUUGGGUCAUGGGUCGCCAUGAGGGCGACAGCCAUUAGCGGGGCCUGGUGUUGUUGCCUUCCUGGUACCCCCCCCCCCCCCCCUUCCCAGUUUCUACAGCGCGUAGCUCACUGCAGCGCUGUAGCCAGGGUAGCUCCCCACCUGCGCCUUUGGGUCAUGGGUCGCCAUGAGAGCGACAGCCAUUAGCGGGGCCUGGUGUUGUUGCCUUCCUGGUGCCCCCCCCCCCCCUUCUCCAAGGUGUACAGCGUCGCCUCAUUUUAGGUUAAUCGUCGGGGCGACGAUUCAAAAGCCUUGGGAAGAAUGUAGCAGGACUAGGUCCACGCCCCUUAAACAGCUCGGCAAUGCCCUUCUGAGUGGCUCUGGGAAAUUGGAGGUGAGCCAAUCCGUACGUGGGAGCGGCUAUAAGGUUUUAGCUUUUAUGUUGAAGGCUAGCGUCGUAGCUACAUCGUUUGCUUGACUCCGGCCUUCACCGCUCCCCGUAUUGGCUUCACCUCUGGCCGGUUCCGUGUGUCCGCCGACUUCUCGGUAGGUGAUGGAAGUAUUGUGUUUGUUGUUGGCUACGUUUGUAUCAGUCAGUGGGCUAACUCAAACAUUGGGGUUUAGGAGUGCAGUUAGUCGCUGAACAUGGGCCUUAUGACCGACCACAGCAGAGCGGUAGGUCACGUUAAACGUUUUUAAAAUAAUAUGUAAACUUGUGUGGGUUUAAUCGUAUGUUCUUUGUGUAGCAGAUCUCGGGCGUAACAGGGGGCGGCAACAUCAAGGCGUCUUGGUCCCAGUUCCGACGAACGCUGCUGUUUUGUCCUGUUUUGUUUUGUUCUGUUGUGUUUGUGUUGUUUCAUUCCGUUGUUGCAUUGGCUGUGUUUAGCCACCAUGAGGUUGAGUGACGACAGGUGUGUUUCGGGUUGCUAUCCGAGUGACUACGAAUUCAGUCCGGUUACAGGGGCUAUUCCUUAUCUUGUGUACACUGCGUGUCAUGAUUAUGCAUGGAGUGAUUGUGCCAAUUAACACUGUUUGCCGUGAGUGCAUUUGAAGUGCUAUUUAUUCACGAGUGUCUCCAUUCCCUGAAUAGUCACCUCUACUGACUUUAGCGAACUCACUCUGGAGAGUAGCCUUCUACUACUGCUGUUAGCGAACCCAUACUGGAGAAUACUGCUGACCUGGGCGAACCCACACUGGAGAGAACUCACUCCCUUUGUUUUACUGAUUAUAAUAAAAAGAGUUUAUUUUUGGA